This 522-nucleotide ribosomal RNA is filed under the name Pseudoalteromonas sp. Its description in RNAcentral is "bacterial SSU rRNA". It matches the Rfam family "Bacterial small subunit ribosomal RNA", at positions 8 to 526 of the family's 1533-position model. The record is from RNAcentral. Lineage: Bacteria; Pseudomonadati; Pseudomonadota; Gammaproteobacteria; Alteromonadales; Pseudoalteromonadaceae.
AGAGUUUGAUCCUGGCUCAGAUUGAACGCUGGCGGCAGGCCUAACACAUGCAAGUCGAACGGUAACAUUUCUAGCUUGCUAGAAGAUGACGAGUGGCGGACGGGUGAGUAAUGCUUGGGAACUUGCCUUCGGGAGGGGGAUAACAGUUGGAAACGACUGCUAAUACCGCAUAAUGUCUACGGACCAAAGCGGGCUUUUAGCUCGCACCUGAAGAGAGGCCCAAGUGAGAUUAGCUAGUUGGUAAGGUAAAGGCUUACCAAGGCAACGAUCUCUAGCUGUUCUGAGAGGAAGAUCAGCCACACUGGGACUGAGACACGGCCCAGACUCCUACGGGAGGCAGCAGUGGGGAAUAUUGCACAAUGGGGGAAACCCUGAUGCAGCCAUGCCGCGUGUGUGAAGAAGGCCUUCGGGUUGUAAAGCACUUUCAGUUGUGAGGAAAGGUUGGUAGUUAAUACCUGCCAGCUGUGACGUUAACAACAGAAGAAGCACCGGCUAACUCCGUGCCAGCAGCCGCGGUAAUAC